RNAcentral lists this ribosomal RNA (253 nucleotides) under uncultured bacterium. RNAcentral describes it as "partial 16S ribosomal RNA". It matches the Rfam family "Bacterial small subunit ribosomal RNA", at positions 524 to 776 of the family's 1533-position model. The record is from RNAcentral.
UACGAAGGGUGCAAACGUUGCUCGGAAUUAUUGGGCGUAAAGCGCACGUAGGCGGCUUAGUAAGUUGGAUGUGAAAUCCCUCGGCUUAACCAAGGAGGUGCAUCCAAAACUACUGAGCUUGAGUACUAAAGAGGAUCGCGGAAUUCCCGGUGUAGAGGUGAAAUUCGUAGAUAUCGGGAGGAACACCAGUGGCGAAGGCGGCGAUCUGGACAGGUACUGACACUCAACUACGAAAGCGUGGGGAGCAAACAGG